Molecule: long non-coding RNA, 427 nt
Organism: Polistes dominula (European paper wasp)
Lineage: Eukaryota; Metazoa; Arthropoda; Insecta; Hymenoptera; Vespidae
Source: RefSeq, a predicted model, not a curated record
AAAAUCUGACAAAAUAAGAAAAAGGAAGAAAAAAAUGAAAGAGAAAGGAAACAAAACUAAGGGAUGAUGAUCGAUAAUACGUGUUAAUGUACUCGCAGAGUUUUCCCGAGUGUGAAAGGAAGGGUAUUAUACCUAACAGAUGUUCACCUUUAAAUGGAAAUGGAUCAGCAUUAGUUACUCGCGACCUUAAUACGAAUCAGGAUCAAUUUUCGUACGUUCUCGGUGUUUAAACGUUAAAUACUUAAACUGAGAAUUAAGUGAAUUCUAAUUAAAAAUGAUUUACGUUAAUUCUAAUUUGGUGUUCAUCAACUAUCAACAACAACAACAACAACAACUACAACAACAACUUCAAGUGUUCCAGUAAAAUCGUACGGAUUUUGUGCUUCGUUAAUUUUUAGUUUUCCGAUUCUACACCUUGUCAACUAUC